This 608-nucleotide transfer RNA is filed under the name uncultured Prochlorococcus sp. RNAcentral's name for it is "partial contains 16S ribosomal RNA, 16S-23S ribosomal RNA intergenic spacer, and 23S ribosomal RNA". The stretch from base 224 to 296 matches the Rfam family "tRNA". The record is from RNAcentral. Lineage: Bacteria; Bacillati; Cyanobacteriota; Cyanophyceae; Synechococcales; Prochlorococcaceae.
UGGAUCACCUCCUAACAGGGAGACAACAAAAUGUUUAUUAUUAUUUUGUCACCUUAGGUCGAUCGGUAUCUCACGUUUUUAAUUUAUUAAGAAUUUCAUUUCCUAGGUUUUUCUAGGUCACACCCAUUAUUUUUCCUGGGCCAUUAGCUCAGGUGGUUAGAGCGCACCCCUGAUAAGGGUGAGGUCCCUGGUUCAAGUCCAGGAUGGCCCAUAUCUCUAUGUUGGGGGUAUAGCUCAGUUGGUAGAGCGCCUGCUUUGCAAGCAGGAUGUCAGCGGUUCGAGUCCGCUUACCUCCACUGAUUACCACCUCUUCCAUAACCGGUAGUAAGGAAAUGUUUUGAGUUGUGAUCAAAUUCUGAAAGAAUCUAGCUUCCUAAUGAAAUCAUUAAGAUGCUGGACUCAUUGAAUUAAUUUCAUUGUUUUCAGAGAACCUUGACAACUGCAUAGAUUAUUUUUAAAGACAAUAAGCAUCUUUAAUGAUGCAGAUUUAUUAUUUGUGCGAAUGCAUUAAUAACAAUUCUAUUAAGCUGAUGCUUCAAUUUUUGAAGUUAUUGGUCAAGCUACAAAGGGCUCACGGAGGAUACCUAGGCACACAGAGGCGAUGAAGG